UCCAUGGUCCUUAGAUCCACUCUCGGGUUAACUGGCCCUGUUCACAGAAUUAGGUUGACGUCCUACUUACCACCAAUUUGACCGGUUGCAUGUCGAAAGUGCUUGAGUCAUAAACAUGGCAGAGAAAUAUACCUCACUCAGUGAAUCCUGGUUAAAUCCUUGUUCGUGAUUUAGCUCUUGCAUGGCCUUGGGCAAUAAUUGUGGGAAUUU
Molecule: small nucleolar RNA, 210 nt
Organism: Dreissena polymorpha
Lineage: Eukaryota; Metazoa; Mollusca; Bivalvia; Myida; Dreissenidae
Product: small nucleolar RNA SNORA53
Exons: 1
Source: RefSeq, a predicted model, not a curated record